ACUGUCCCGCAACGAGCGCAACCCCUAUCCUUAGUUGCCAGCAUUAAGUUGGGGACUCUAGGGAGACUGCCAGUCAAAAACUGGAGGAAGGUGGGGAUGACGUCAAGUCAUCAUGCCCCUUAUGCUCUGGGCUACACACGUGCUACAAUGGCCUGUACAGAGGGC
This 165-nucleotide ribosomal RNA is filed under the name Acetohalobium arabaticum. Its description in RNAcentral is "partial 16S Ribosomal RNA". It matches the Rfam family "Bacterial small subunit ribosomal RNA", at positions 1081 to 1247 of the family's 1533-position model. Lineage: Bacteria; Bacillati; Bacillota; Clostridia; Halanaerobiales; Halobacteroidaceae. The record is from RNAcentral.